This 433-nucleotide ribosomal RNA is filed under the name uncultured bacterium. RNAcentral describes it as "partial 16S ribosomal RNA". It matches the Rfam family "Bacterial small subunit ribosomal RNA", at positions 29 to 507 of the family's 1533-position model. The record is from RNAcentral.
AACGAACGCUGGCGGCAUGCCUAACACAUGCAAGUCGAACGAGACCUUCGGGUCUAGUGGCGCACGGGUGCGUAACGCGUGGGAACCUGCCCUUAGGUUCGGAAUAACUCCCCGAAAGGGGUGCUAAUACCGGAUAAUGUCUUCGGACCAAAGAUUUAUCGCCUUUGGAUGGGCCCGCGUUGGAUUAGCUAGUUGGUAGGGUAAAAGCCUACCAAGGCGACGAUCCAUAGCUGGUCUGAGAGGAUGAUCAGCCACACUGGGACUGAGACACGGCCCAGACUCCUACGGGAGGCAGGAGUGGGGAAUAUUGGACAAUGGGCGAAAGCCUGAUCCAGCCAUGCCGCGUGAGUGAUGAAGGGCUUAGGGUUGUAAAGCUCUUUUACCCGGGAUGAUAAUGACAGUACCGGGAGAAUAAGCUCCGGCUAACUCCGUG